GACGAACGCUGGCGGCGUGCCUAACACAUGCAAGUCGAGCGAACAGACGAGGAGCUUGCUCCUUGGACGUUAGCGGCGGACGGGAGAGUAACACGUGGAUCAUCUACCUAUAAGACUGGGAUAACCUCGGGAAACGGGAGCUAAUCCCGGAGAAUAUAUUGCACCGUAGGGGUCAAUAGUGAAAUACGGUUUUUCGGUCACUUCUAGAUGCAUCCGCGCCGCAUUGGCUAGUUGGGAAGGUACCGGGUUACCAAGGCGACUAUGCGUAGCCGACGUGUGAGGAUGAUCGGCCACCCUGGAGCGUGAACACGGACCAGGCUCCUACGGUAGGCAGCAGUAGGGAAUCGUCCGCAGUGGGCGAGAGCCUGACGGAGCAGCGCGACGUGAGUGAUAAAAGUCUUCCGAGCGUGAAGCUCUGUUAUGAGGUAAGAACAAAUUUGGAAGUUGCUGAGCACGGCGUGACGGUACCUGAUCAGGAAGCCACGGCUAACUACGUG
RNAcentral lists this ribosomal RNA (497 nucleotides) under uncultured bacterium. RNAcentral describes it as "partial 16S ribosomal RNA". It matches the Rfam family "Bacterial small subunit ribosomal RNA", at positions 28 to 507 of the family's 1533-position model. The record is from RNAcentral.